Molecule: long non-coding RNA, 16260 nt
Filed under: Homo sapiens (human)
Lineage: Eukaryota; Metazoa; Chordata; Mammalia; Primates; Hominidae
Description: non-protein coding lnc-WBP4-2:9
Source: RNAcentral
GUUUUAGCUGACGACACUCGAGAGCGCCAAUUUUCCUAGAUUCGAUUUUGUGGUUUGGAACUGUGGUUUUGGAAUCCAGAGUAGUCGCCUCGUUCUAGUAUCCAAUUGCUCCAGCACCAACUGGUGAAAAGACCAUCAUUCUUCUACUCAGUUGCAUUUGAAGCUUUGUCAAAAACCAGACACAAUUGGAGACACAGGUUCUUCUAUCAAGGCCUUGACUGGAAUGGCAUAUUUUCAGAUAUGACCACAUUGCUUUGAGGAAAUGAGGCUGAUGUUGCAGAGCUGAUAAAACCCCCACAGAAAGGCCAGCCUACCUCUGGCAGUUGCAACUAUGAUUUCCCUAUGAGCACUACUUUUGCUGCAUCCUGUAAGUUUUGCCAUGAGAGGAUACAGUGAGAAGAGGGUGAUCUGUAAACCCAGAAGAGUGCCCUCCCCAGACACUGGAACUUCUAACACUUUGAUCUUGAAUUUCCCAACCUCCAGAACUAUGAGAAAUAAAUGUUUGUUCUUUAUGCCACCCAACAUUUGAUAUUCUUGUACAGCAGCCUGAAUUAAGAUAGUCACAGUGCGUAAUGUUUUGUUAUUUUAUUCAGUUUGCUAAUAUUUUGUGGAGGACCUUUGAAUCUAUGUUCAUGAAAGCUAUUGGUAUGUAGUUUUUUGUUUUUUUGUUGUUGUUUUUAUUUUUUUGUACUGGUUUUGAUAUUUGGGUGAUACUAGCCUCACAGUGAGUUGGGGACUGUUCUUUCUUUCUGGAAAAGAUUGUGAAAAUGCAUUGUUAUCUCUUUGAAUGUUUUGUAGAAUUCUGCAGUGAAACCAUCUGGGCCUGGGAUUUUUUAGGAGAUUUUUUAAAAUAAAUUCAGUUUCUUUAAUGGUUAAUAUAGGGCUACCUAAAUUAUCUAUUUCAUCUUGGUUGUGUUUGGUAGUUUGUGGUUCCUCAAAAGGCUUCAUUACUUCUAAGUUUUCAGUAAAAAAACUGUUUUAGAGUAUAAAACUUUGUGUAAUAUUUUCUUAUUAUCUUAGUGGCUACAGGAUAUGAAGUGACAUCCCCUGUUUUAUUCCUCAUAUUGGUGAUAUCUGUUUUCUCUUAAUUUUUGUGACUCUUGAAAGAAGUUUGUACAUUUUAUUGAUUUAAAAAAGAAACAGGCCGGGUGCGGUGGCUCAUGCCUGUAAUUCCAGCACUUUGGGAGGCCGAGGCAGGCAGAUAACGAGGUCAGGAGAUCAAGACCAUCCUGGCUAACACGGUGAAACCCCGUCUCUACUAAAAAUACAAAAAAUUAGCCAGGCAUGGUGGCGGGCGCCUGUAGUCCCAGCUACUCGGGAGGCUGAGGCAGGAGAAUGGUGUGACCCUGGGAGGCGGAGCUUGCAGUGAGCCAAGAUCGUGCCACUCCAUUCCAGUCUGGGCGACACAGUGAGACUCCGUCUCAAAAAAAAAAAAGAAAAGAAAAAAAAGAAAGAAAUCGUCUUUUACUUCAUUAAAUUUUCUUCUCUGCUAUUUCUUAUUUCUAAUUUUAUUAAUUAUUGUUCUGAUCUCUAUAUUAUUUCCUUCCUUUUUUUUAAGAAAGAGAGACUCUCACUCUGUCACCCAGGCCGGAGUGCAGUGGUGCGAUCAUAGCUCACUGCAGUCUUGAACUCCUGGGCUCAAGCAGUUCUCCUAUCUCAGAGUAGCUGGGACUACAGGACACACCACCAUGCCUAAUUUUUAAAAUGUUUUGUAGAAAUGAGGUCUCGCUAUGCUGCCCAAGCUGGUCUUGAAAUCCUGGCUCAAGUGAUCCUCCCUGCCUUGGCUUUCCUAAGUGCUGGGAUAAUAGGUGUGAGCCACCAAGCCUGACCUCCUUCUUCUUGAUUGCUUUGGGUUUAUUUUCCUCUGCUUUCUCUAGUGCCUUAUGGUAGGAGCUUAGAUUGACUUGAGUCCUUUUCUCAUGUUUAAUGUAAACAUUUAAUGCUACAGUUUUGCUCUCAAAAAUCCUUUAGCUGUAUCCAACAUGUUUUGGUAUGUUGUAUUUUCAUAUUCCUUAAGUUUCAUUUUUAACUUGAGAUUUUCCUCUUUGUCCCAGCAAUGAUUUAAAAUUUAUGUUGUUCAAUUUCUCUGUGUUUAGAGAGUUUCCUGUUGUCUUCGUUAUUGAUUAUCUGUUUGAUUCCAAUAUUGUCAGGAAACAUGCUACGUAUACUUUCAUUUAUUUUGCAUUUGUUGAAGUUGUUGUAUGGCUCAGGACAUGGUCUAUCUUGAUGAAUCUUCCAUGAACAAUUGAAAAAAAAGUGUACUCUGCUUAUUGGGUGGAGUGAUGUGUCACUCCAUGAUUGGUUGAUUAUAUUAGUCAGAUCUUCUAUAUUCUCGCUAAUUUACUGUCAGUAGCUUUGUCACUUGCUGAAAGAUCAUGUUGCAUUUUCCAAUAAUAAUUGUGGAGUUGUCUGUUUUUCCUUUUAAGUCUAUCAGUUUUGCUUCAUGUAUUUUAAGACUGUUUUUUGGUUUAUACACAUUUGAGAUCAUUAAGUUUUCCUUGUCAAUUGAAUUUUUCAUUAACAUGUAUUAUCUCUCUCUGUCAUCUCUACCCUAGUAGGUUUUUUUUUUUUGCUUUUAUUUAUUUAUUUAUCUAUUUUUAAAUUUUUUUUUGAGAUGGAGUCUUGCUCUGUUUCCUAGGCUGGAGUGCAGUGGUGUGAUCUCGGCUCAUUGCAACCUCCGCCUCCUGGGUUCAAGCGAUUCUCCUGUCUCAGCCUCCUGAGUAGCUGGGACUACAGGUGCCCACUACCAUGCCCGGCUAGUUUUUGUAUUUUUAGUAGAGAUGGGCUUUCACCAUAUUGGCCAGGCUGGUCUCGAACUCCUGACCUCGUGAUCCGCCCACCUCAGCCUCCCAAAGUGCUGGGAUUACAGGCGUGAGCCACCGAGCCCCACCCCAUGCAUAUUUUUUAGACAGUAGGGAGAAACCUUUUACAGAUAAGUUACAAACAAAGAAAAGGCAAAUAAACAAUUUUGUACAAGAAAUUUAACACAUUCUGUACAAGUUGUUCACUUUGCUGUCAUCAUUUGUACAAACUCUUCAUAGAUCAUUUGACCAUCACCAUCAAUAUGUGGUUACCUGAUCAUUUCAUCAACCUCGUCAUCUGUUAAAUUCUCUCCAAGGUUUGUCAUCACAUGGUGAAGUUCUGUUGCACUAAUAUAGCCAUUGCCAUCCUUAUCAAACACACAGAAUGCAUCUCUAAUUUCUUCUUCACUGUCUGUGUCUUUCAUUUUUCUUGCCAUCAUUGUUAGAAAUUCAGGGAAGUCAACUGUGCCAUUACCAUCAGCAUCUACUUCAUUAAUCAUGUCCUGUAACUCUGCUUCUGUGGGAUUCUGCCCAAGAGACCUCAUUACAGUUCCUGAUUCCUUGUUGUUAUAGUUCCAUCACCAUCUUUGUUAAAUAGUGAAAAAGCUUCUUUGAAUUCUGCAGUCUGCCUUUCAGUCAGUUGGUCAGCCAUGCUGCAAGCGCUACCAGUUUCUGAGAUGUGACCACGCAGCCACUCAGCUUGCUCACUCGCUCGCUCCACUCGGACUAAUUCCUAUACAUUAUUUUUUUUGAGUCGGAGUUUUGCUCUUGUUGCACAGGCUGGAGUGCAGUGGUGCAAUCUCAGCUCACUGCAAUCUCUGCCUCUCAGGUUCAAGCAAUUCUCCUGCUUCAGCCUCCCCAAGUAGCUGGGAUUACAGGCAUGUGCCAUCAUGCCAGGCUAAUUUUGUAUUUUUUUAGUAGAGAUGGGGUUUCACCAGGUUGGUCAAGUUGGUCUCGAACCCUGACCUCAGGUAAUCCACCUGCCUCAGCCUCCCAAAGUGCUGGGAUUAUAGGCGUGAGCCACCGUGCCUGGCCUAUAAUUUUUGUUUCAAUAAUCAAAUAUGAUUUAUAAAAUUCAUGGUUUAUGAAACAUACCAUUGUAUGAUUUAUAAAACAUGCUUUUGUAUAUGUUUGUAUUUCUGCUCUUUCUGUUGUUCCUUUUUCCUUCCUAAUCCUCUGAGAUAUUUGAUCAUUUAUUUUCUAUUUAAAGAACUUUCUGUAGCCAAUCUUUAAGGAUAAGUCUGCAAGCAACAAAUUCUUUUAUUUUUCAUUCAUCUGAGAAUUCAUUCCUAGAGAAUAAUUUUGGUAAAUGUGAACUUUUCAGUAGAAAGUUAUUUUCUUUUAGCAAUUAAAAAAUGCUGUACCAGCUGGACGAGGUGGCUCAGGCCUGUAAUCCCAGUGACUCCACAGUCCAAGGUGGGAAAAUCAUUUAAGGCCAGGAGUUUGAGGCCAGCCUGUGCAACAUAGCAAGAUCCCGUCUCAGGGAGGGGGAGAGGGAAACUUAGUUGGGCAUGGUGGUGCUCACCUGUAGUCCCAGCUACUCAGGAAGCUGAGGUGGGAGGAUCACUUGAGCCCAGAAGUUGGAGGCUGCAGUGAGGCAUGAUUGAGCCACUUCACUCCAGCCUGGGUGACAGGGUGAGACCCACUUUGUUUAAAAAAAAAAAAUAGCUGUGCCACUUCCUUCUGGUCUCCAUGGUUUCAGAUGAGAAAUUGUCAUUCAAAUAGAUAUUACCCUAUAGAUAAUGUGUCAUUUUUCUUUGGUUUUUAAGAUCUUUUCUUUAAGAAGUUUAACUGAUUAAAUUUGCACUUAGUUUUUAAGAAGUAAUUUUUUUUUUUUUUUUUUUUUUUUUUGAGAUGGAGUCUUGCUCUGUCACCAAGGCUGGAAUGUGGUGGCGGGAUCUCGGCUCCACUGCAAGCUCCGCCUCCUGGGUUCAUACCAUUCUCCUGCCUCAGCCUCCCAAGUAGCUGGGACUACAGGUGCCCGCCACCCAUGCCCGGCUAAUUUUUUGUAUUUUUAGUAGAGACGGGGUUUCACCAUGUUAGCCAGGAUGGUCUUGAUCUCCUGACCUCGUGAUCUGCCCGCCUUGGCCUCCCAAAGUGUUGGGAUUACAGGCGUGAGCCACUGCUCCUGGCAAAGAAGUUAAUUUUGAUGUGUCUUGGAAUGGAUUUCUUUGGGCUUAACCUGUUGGGAUUUGCUCAGAUUCUUGAAUCUGUAGUUUUCUGUUUUUCAACAAAUUUGGGAAGUUUCAGCAAUUAUUUUUUCAAGUACUCCUUCAGUUUCACUCUCUUCCACCACCACUCUCAUGGAACUUUGGUGAUGCAAAUGUUGGCUAUUUUGUUAUUAUCCUACAAGUCUCUGAGCCUCUGUUCAUUUUUUCCUGUUUUUCUCUCUGUUGUUCAAUUUGAGUGAAUUCCACUGAUUGUCCUGAAAGACUCUGAUGCUAUCCUCUGUUUUGUCCAUUCUACUAUUGCUGUUUUAUUUCUGUUAGUUUAUCUUUUGGUUUUGGUUUUGUUUUAGAGAUGAGGUCUCACUAUGUUGCCCAGGCUGGAGUGUAGUGGCUAUUCACAGGCAUGAUUAUAGUACACUACAGCUUCAAACUCCUGGGUUAAAAUGAUCCUCCUGCAUCAGCCUCCUGAAUAGCUAGGACACAGGUGCAUGCCACCACACCCAGCUCUAUUUUUCAGCGUUAUAGGUUCCACUUAGUUCUUUUUUAUUAUUUCAAUUUAUUUGCUGAGAUUUUUCGCUUUUUUUCCCAUCGUUUUUAGAGAAUUUUUAAUAGGCUAUUAAAGCAUUUUUAUGAAGGCUGUUUUGAAGUGCUUGCCAAAUAAUUCCAAUACCUGAUUCAUCUGUAUUGGUAUCAGUUGAUUGCCUUUUUCUCAUUCAAGUUGUGACUUUCUUGGUUCUUGGUAUGACUGAUACUUUAUAUUAUAUGUUGGACAUUUUCUUUGUAAUAUUAGGAGACAGUAAUAUUUUUUGAUCAUCUAGUUUAUGCUAAACAUUGUAUUAUGUGCUAUCUUACAUUAUUUUAAUGAAACUAAGAUCUCUGAAAAUAUAUUUUGCUGAGAUUUGCACAAUUACUGCAUUUCUACAAAAAUAAUAAUUUUUGGUUUACACUUUUCUACCAACAGUGUGUUUUAGGAUUUCCAUUUAAUAUAGAACUGAGCAUAUUAGUUAAUCAUUCAAUAAUUACAUGUUCCAAGCAUGAGAAGUAUAGGACAGAAUCCAUUACUGAAUUGUUCGACUUGGUGCAAUGGCUCACAUAUCUGUUUUCCUUGAGUUCUUUUUUGAAUAAAAUAUCCUCAUGUGAAACUUAAGAGCCUUUGAGAAAUACUGAGCAAAAUGAAAUUUGGAAAGUAAUAUAUGAUAUUAUAGUAGAAAUUAUGUUCAAUAUUUCAUUACAUUUAUAAUAAAAAUAACAUAGUUGAUCAUCCUCAAAUCUAUGAAAUUCAUCAUAAACACAUCAUAAAUGUCUUUUCUGUGCUCUCUGCACAUUGUCAUUUCAUAAAAAUGAACAAUACUUAGACGUCCACACCAGUGAUACAUAGUUAAUGAUAUGCUGACAGUUUAAAGACACAGUAGGGCUGGGCAUGGUGGCUCACGCCUAUAAUCCCAGCACUUUGGGAGGCCAAGGUGAGAGGAUCACCUGAGGUCGGGAGUUCGAGAUCAGCCUGACCAACAUGGAGAAAACCUGUCUCUACUAAAAAUACAAAAUUAGCCGGGCAUGGUGGUGCAUGCCUAUAAUCCCAGCUACUCGGGAGGCUCAGGCAGGAGAAUCGCUUGAACCCAGGAGGCAGACGUUGCGGUGAGCUGAGAUCAUGCCACUGCACACCAGCCUGGGCAACAAGAGUGAAACUCUGUCUCAAAAUAAAUAAAUAAAUAAAGACACAGUAGUACAUGGAGGCCAGAGGCACAUGCAGAUCCCCACCAAAUACACACAAAAUUAAACAUUGGAAUAUGUAUGACAGCCUUUAAAAAAUUCAUUUCCAAAGAAAAUAAAUACAAAUCAGAGCAGAUAUGUAAUCUUUUUUUUUCUUCUAGAGACAGGGUCUUGCUCUGUUGCCCAAACUGGAAUGCAGUGAUGGAAUCAUAGCUCAGUGUAAUCUCUACCUCCUGGGAUCAAGAGAUCCUUCCACCUCAGCCUCCAGACUAGUUGGGACUACAGGCAUGCACCACCAUGCCCGGCUAAUUUUAAGUUUUGUUAUAGACAUGGGGUCUUGCUGUAUUGCCUAGGCUGGUCUUGCACUCCUACCCUCAUGUGAUCCUCCUGCCUUGGGCUCCUAAAAUGCUGGGAUUGCAGGCAUGAGCCACUGUGCCUAGCUGAGAUAUGUAAUCUUGAAAAGGAAAAAUGGGUUCCACUUUAUAUUAAUCUGAUUGAAGAAAUGAUAUAACCACAGAAAUAAUGCAAAGGAGAAAAGGGUACAAGAAAGUAUGUAGCAACCAGAGGAGGGUAGGAGGAGCUCCAGCACAGAAGCCUAGGAAAGACUUGGCCAUGCAAUUAUGGACCUUUAGAUCUGGCUCUGUCCAGAAAAACUGUCCAUUCGGGUCUCCCCCUACAGUGAAGACAAAUGAACCAGCUUCUCACACCACCUUGACAGUGGUCAUUAAGAUCAUCCAAAUUGCUCUGUGAAUUCUAUGUCCAUGUCCACCAAGCAAGCUUCUGACAGUAAUUCAUCUCUCAUGAAAAUUAGGCCACAAGAAUAUGUGCUAAUCAGGGAUCACCAGUAUCUAGCUAAUUGAUAUGAAAGUUAUAUUUUAUAAUUGUAAAUUAAUAUAUCAGUAUCAUAUUUUUUGUAUAUUUGAUUCUUAUUGAUUUGGUUAAUAUCGGGGGAACCAGCCCCUGAUAAUUCAAUGUAAGUUCUUUUCUGUUUUCCCUAGGUGUUGGCCAGAUUGAGAAAUAAAGGGAAAGAGUACGAAAGAGAGAAAUUUUAAAGCUGGGUGUCCGGGGGAGACAUCAUAUGUCAGCAGGUUCCGUGAUGCCCCUCAAGCCACAAAACCAGCAAGUUUUUAUUAGUGAUUUUCAAAGGGGAGGGAGUGUAUGGGUCACAGAGAUCACAUGCUUCACAAGGCAAUAAAAUAUCACAAGGCAAAUGGGGGCAGAGCGAGAUCACAGGACCAGGGCAAAAUUAAAAUUGCUAAUGAAGUUUUGAGCACGCAUUGUCAUUGAUAACAUCUUACCAGGAGACAGGGUUUGAGAGCAGAAAACCGGUCUGACUAAAAUUUACUAGGCAGGAAUUUCCUCAUCCUAAUAGGCCUGGGAGUGCUACGGGAGACCGGGGCUUAUUUCAUCCCUUAUCUGCAACCGUCUAAGACAGACACUCCCAGAGUGGCCAUUUUAGAGACCUACCCCUGGGAAUGCAUUCUCUUUCUCAGGGCUGUUCCUUGCUGAGAAAAAGAAUUCAGCGAUAUUUCUCCUAUUUGCUUUUGUAAGAAGAGAAAUAUGGCUCUGUUCCACCCAGCUCUCAGGCCGUCAGACCUAAUGGUUAUCUCCCUUGUUCCCUGAACAUCACUGUUAUCCUGUUCUUUUUUCAAGGUGCCCAGAUUUCAUAUUGUUUAAACACACAUGCUUUACGAACAAUUUGUGCAGUUAACGCAAUCAUCACAGGGUCCUGAGGCGACAUACAUCCUCAGCUUACAAAAAUGACAGGAUUAAGAGAUAAAAGACAGGCAUAGGAAAUCAUAAGAGUAUUGAUUAGGGAAGUGAUAAAUGUCUAUGAAAUCUUCACAAUUUAUGUUCAGAUAUUGCAGUAAAGACAGGCAUAAGAAAUUAUAAAAGUAUUAAUUUGGGGAACUAAUAAAUGUCCAUGAAAUCUUCACAAUUUAUGUUCUUCUGCCAUGGCUUCAGCCUGUCCCUCCAUUCGGGGUCCCUGACUUCCCGCAACAGGUUAACCUGAUUCCGUACCCAAACCCCAUCACAUCAAGGGUAGCAAUACCUGAAUAUCUAAACUUCUAAAGCAGAGAAAUAAACCUGGAACAUGGUCACUCUACCAAGAAAUUGUUACCAGACCUGUGUGGCUGGACACCUGAUUCUCCCCUGGCAAAUCUUCUAUUUCAUUCGGUCAUCAUCAAUAUUUUUUUCAUUUUCAAUUUUUAACAGUAGGCAGAUAUCUAAGUUUAACUGUCUCAAAGGUUUGAUAUAUGACUUAGGGUUGUAUAUUAUUCAGUGUUUAUUUAAAAGAAUAGAAAAGUCCAAAGACAGGUUCACAAUAAGCAAAAAUACAUACAUACAUAAAUAAGCUUGGAGACUUUUAUAAGAUUAAAAUGAAGUUCUUACAAAUACUUAAAUCAAAAUGCAGCAGGAGUUAUGACAGCAAAAUCUUCAGUCUUAUUUUUAGAGACAGGGUCUCGCUAUGUUGCCCAGACUGGACUUGAACUUCUGGGCUCAUGUGAUCCUCCCACCUCAGCCUCUUGAGUAGCUGGAAUUAUGGAUGCACACCACCAUGCCCAUCUGAAAAUCUGCAGUAUUGACACUGCACUCUAUAAUGCCCUUCCUUAUUGUUCUCUUGACAGUAUCCCCACUGUAUAUUUGUGAAGAUGGCUGAAUGUAUUGAAGUAGAUACUGCUUUUAUAACGUCAAAGCCAUUAUAAUGUCAAAGCCAUAACCAUAAGGUUAUGGGACUGUUAACUGGUGGGUAUCACAACCCUGUUUAUGAGAAAAGCAUUCAGAACUGCAUAGGGGAAGGUGUAGUGAAAUAUUUAUUAUAGGAUAUAUCUUGGAGCUGGCAUAUUCCAAGAUAGGCCAUGGAAUAUGACUCUUUUUUUUGAGAUGGAGUCUUGCCCUGUCACCCAGGCUGGAAUGGAGUGGCAUGAUCUCGGCUCACUGCAACUUCCACCUCCCGGGUUCAAGCACUUUUCUGCCUCAGCCUACAGAGUAGCUGGGAUUACAGGCACCUGCCACCAUGCCUGGCUAAUUUUUGUAUUUUUAGUAGAGACAGGGUUCCACCAUCUUGGCCAGGCUGGUCUUGAACUCCUGACCUCGUGAUCCACCCGCCUCAGCCUCCCAAAGUGUUGGGAUUACAGGUGUGACCCACCACGCCUGGCCAGGAACGUGACUCUUAGUAGUGCUUGUGACCAAAACCUACAGAAGAGAAAAUGCAGUGUAAUAUAGAAGUAACCCUUAGAAUGACUAAUCCAGUUGGAUAAAACUCUUCUCUGUUUCUGUACCUACAAUGUGAGGGGAUGGGAGGUGGGAAAAGUUUGGAAAGUACCUUAUACUGGACCUUUUCUGUAGAACUCUCAAUUUUUGUACUAUUAUCAUUUGCUAAUUUGACAUGAAAUUUAAGCAACCAGCAAUGAGGAAAUACUUAGACUGUAACAGAGCUCUUCAGAGUUCUUUGUUUUGCAACAAUCACCUUUCAAAACUUCCCUAACAACUUGGACAGACAAACCCAGUCGAAUUUACAGAUGCUUGUGGAAAGGUUAGAGAAUUUGAAAGAAAUAAAAAAGAGUUGGGAGUGAAUAUGUGUGUCUUACUGCUUCGGUUUUGUUUCCUAGCAUUUAUUGGUUCAAAUAGAUUUGUUGCUUUGCUGACUCUCUGCUAUCUUCAUAAAAGAUAAGAAAACCUCUCAGCGUCCCUCUAUAGUGUGAGAAACAUGAUUUAUAAUAACAUUAUUUCAUAAUUGAAAGUAUUGUUUCGUUGUCUGGGAAAAUGAGCGCAUCAGAAUUAACUUGUAGUUUUAGAGGCCAGUGGGUUGCUAUAACAACCAGAAAAACAAUGGUGUAAUAACACCUCUCCCUGAAAGCUGGAGAACUCACUAAAUGACGAGAGCUACAGAUGCAAGCGUUUGUCAUAUGAAUUCAAACAAGAACCAAAUACAUUCAUUUAUUUCUUUCAUGAGCACUGACUCCAUGCCUGGCACUAUGCUAGGAACUGGUGAAAUAGACGUGGUCCCUCCUGUGAUGGAGUGAACAAUCUAAUGGAGAAGACCGAUAAUAAACAGUUUAAAAAAAAAGAUAAAUGGAAUAAUUUCAGCAUGUUUAAGGCCCUUUGGUAGAGAAAGCAUUGUUCUCUGAUACUGGACAAGCAGAGAAGGGUUGCUCCAGUAUGGGACAUGGAGAAGCACCUGGUCAUAUCAUAAAUCUUGCCUUUAAGGCUAUAUGAGCUCUAGUAAAGUGAAGGAAAAAAAGAAUGGAGUCUUACAGUCUUUAUUAGUAAAAAUAAUUUAAGGGAAGAAACUGCUAACUGAAGCAUGAUCAUUUUUUACUAGAAGGGUUUAACACGUAAAUUCCCAGAAUUCUUGAAUUAGGAGGAUUCAACAUUAAAAUAAGAGUUAUUUGUGUGUUUUAAAACAGUAUUGUUUUGGGCCAGGCGCGGUGGCUCACACCUAUAAUCCCAACACUUUGGGAGGCCGGGAGGCCAAGGCAAGUGGAUCACCUGAGGUCAAGAGUCCGAGACCAGCCUGGCCAACAUGGUGAAACCCCAUCUCUACUAAAAAUACAAAAAUUAGUCGAGCGUGGUGGCACAUGACUGUAGUCCCAGCUACUCGGGGGGCUGAGGCGGGGCAAUCGCUUUAACCCAGGAGGCAGAGGUUGCAGUGAGCCGAGAUUGCGUCACUGCACUCCAGCCUGGGUGACAGAAAAAAAAAAAAGUAUUGUUUUAUUUCAGCUUUACUCAUAAUAGCCAAAAACUGGAAACAAGCAAAUAAAACCAAAUGUCCUUCAGUGGAUGAAUGAUUAAACAAACUGUGUUAUAUACAUACCAUGGAAUACUCUGGCAAUAAAAAGGAAAUGAACUUUUUUUUAAGAAUAAAAGCUUUAUUGAGAUAUAAUUCACAUACCAUAAAGUUCAUCUUUUUAAAGUUUAAAGUUCAGUUGUUUUUAGAACACUGACAAUACAAACACUACUUAGAUAAUUGUGCAAAAAUCACCAGUAAUUCCAAAACACUGUCAUUACUCCCAAAAGAAUCUCCAUAUCUAUUAGCAUUACCAUAUCUAUUAGCAUUACUCCCCAUUUCCACCUUAUUGUCCAUAUGUUCACGCCCCAGACCUAAGCAAUCCUUAAUCUAUUCUCUGUCUCUAUGGAUUUGCUGAUUCUGAAUCUCUCAUAUAAAUGGAAUCACACAAUAUGUUUCCUUCUGUUUCUGGCUUCUUUAGCUUAAUAUGCUCAAGAGUCAUCUCUGUUAUAGCAUGCAUCAGAACUCUAUUUUUUUAUGGAUAAAUAAGAUUCCAUUGCACUGAUAUUGACCUUUUGCUCAUCUAUUUGUCAGUUGAUGAGCAUUCGGGUUUUUCCUCCUUUUUGUCGGUUAUGAAUAAUGCUGCUAUGAACAUUAGUGUACCAGUUUUUUCUGUACAUAUGUUUCCAGUUCUCUUGGUUAUGUACCUAGGAGUGGAAUUGCUGAGUCAUAUGGUAUCUCUGUUAACUUUCUGAGGAACAGAAAACUGUUUUCCAAAGCCAUUGUACCAUUUUACACUCCUACCAGCAGGUAUGAGGAUUUCAGUUUUUCCACAUCCUUGCCAUCCUUGCUUUUGUCUUUUUUUGAAUUUUCAUGUCAAAGGGGUAAUGUUCCAAUGAGGUCAUAACAAGGCUUGGGGAAGGCACAUUUCACACAUGCACGUGAAACCCCAGUCAUCACGCUUAUAAACUACAAAAGGAUCUGCUUUUGCUUUUUAUUAUAGCCAUCCAAGUAGGUGUAAAGUGGUAUUUCCUUGUGGUUUCAUUUGUAUUUCCCUAAUGUGUUGAGUAUCUUUUCAUGUGCUUGUUGGUCAUUUGUCUAUCUUGUUUGAAGCAAUGUCUGUUCAAAUCUUUUCUCAAUUUUUCAGUUGGGUUAUUUGUCUUUUUAUUGUUGAAUUGUAUCAGUUCUUUACAUAUUCUAGACACAUGUCCCUUAUCAGAUAUAUGAUUUGCAAAUAUUUUCUCCCGGUGUGUGAGUUGUUUUUUUACUUUUUUUUCACUCACAUUAUGUAUGUUGAUGUUAUGAUUUGAAGCACAAAAGUUUCAUUUUGGUUAAGUCUAAUUUCUUUUGUUGAACUACUGAUUGUUUUUUAAGAAAUAAAUGCCCUGUACAUCAAGCUGUAUACAGAGUGUACUCUGAAAUAGGUCGAAUUAAAAGAAGUCCUGAUUAUGGAGAUUUUCAGUGAGCUGUUAGGUCAACUCGUGGUUAAUUCUCUGGGAAUGAGCCUUUUUGGGCUUCAAAUCUGUUCUUUUCUCUCCAGUGGCUGCUAAGCUCUACUUUCCACAACUACUAUAAAUGUGAAGCUAUUGAGUUUCAAGGCUUCCAUGGAACUGGGGAGAGGUGUAUAGGAUUAGAGCAAGUUAAAACACUAUAGGCUUUCCGUUCUUACUGAGAUUCAGCUGUUUUUCUUAGGUAAACAUUCCUUGGAAUGUGGCAAGCUUUUGUUAAUUUCCACAAUUCUAAUAAGUUUAUGUCAACAGCUUUUGCUAAUGUCCUCAUUGCUUUUAUGGAGGAGCAGAUUCUCGGUGUGACAUUACUGUACCAUUUGGAAUGUCUACUGAUAUACACGAUAACUUGGAUAAAUCUCAAGAGAAUUAUGCUGAGUGAAAACAUGAUCUCAAAAGAUUAAAUACAGUAUGAUUCCAUUUAUAUAACUUUUUUUUCUUUGAGAUAGGGUCUUGCUCUGUCGCCCAGGCUGCAGUGCAGCAGCACAGUCAUAGCUCACUGUAACCUCAAACUCCUGGGCUCAAGUGAUCCUUCUGUCUCGACCUCCCGAGUAGCUAGAAUUACAGCCACCACACCUGGCUAAUUAAAAAAUUUUUUUGUAGAGAUGUGGUCUUGCUAUGUUGCCCAGGCUGGUUUGAAACUCCUGACCACACAUGAUCCUGCUGCCUCAACCUUCCAAAGCACUGGGAUUACAGGCAUAAGUCACCAUGCCCACCCUAUAUAACAAAUUUAAAAUGACAAAAUUACAGAGAUGAAUUACAGAUUAGGGGUUGACUAGGGAGAUGAGGAGGGAAAAGCCUGUGGCUAUAAAAGCAAGGCACUGGCUGGGCACAGUGGCUCACGCCUAUAAUCCCAGCACUUUGGGAGGCCAAGGUGGGCGGAUCACCUGAGGUCGGAAGUUCGAGACCAGCCUGACCAACACGGAGAAACUCUGUCUCUACUGAAAAUACAAAAUUAGCUGGGCGUGGUGGAGCAUGCCUGUGAUCCCAGCUACUUGGGAGGCUGAGGCAAGGAGAAUCACUUGAACCUGGGAGGUGGAGGUUGUGGUGAGCCGAGAUCGCCCCAUUGCACUCCAGCCUGGGCAACAAGAGCAAAACUCUGUCUUAAAAAAAAAAAAAAAAAAAAAAAAAAAAGCAUGGCACAAAGGAUAUUUGUAAUAGAACUAUUUUAUAUCUUGACUGUGUUGAUGUUCUCAUGAAUCUACAUGUUAAUAAACUUCAUAGAUUUAAAUAUACACACACCAAACGCAUGCAUGUAAAAGUGGUAAAAUGUGAAUUUUAAUGAUUUGUAUCAAUGUCAUUUUCUUGGUUGUGAUAUUUUACUAUAGUUGUGCAAAGUGUUACCAUUGGGAAAAACAAGUGAAGGAUAUACAGGAUCUCUCUGUAUUAUUUCUCACAACUGCAUGUGAAUUUACAAUAAUCUCAAAUUUUUGUUUGUAAAACAAAAAGGAGUAUCAUAGCUCAUAAUAGAAAUUAUAUAAGGAAAAUUAUAUUACAUAAUUGAGAGAAGCAAUUCAAAAUAUUCUCUGGCAGCUGUUUUGAGGUUUUUAUAAACACAAAAUGAUACUGUAAAUAUAUAUUGAAUAUAUUAAUACUAGGAUUCCCUGAUUAAGAUAGCACAAGAACUGAGUGAGCAACUAAGUUCUGAAUAGAUGAUUAUGGCUAAUGAGGUGGGCUUCAAUAGAAGGGCAGAUAAGUACAUUACUCCAUAUACCACUGCAAAAAUGAUUCAGGCACAGAAAAUGCUCUGUAGCCUAACUUUUGUGAGGUACCCCUUCCUAAAACAUUCAUAUAUGUGAUUCAUUUAAAAUAGAAUUGCAGAAUCAUAGGUGUUUCAACAAGUAUAGGCAUGAAUGAUUCUGUAAUAAGCUAAACAAGACAAAGCUCCACCAAGAUGCUUGGAACAUGCUAGAACUGAGUUAAAACUGAAUAUGGUAUAUUUCUUAUCCCUCAUAUAACUAAAAAACAUUCAUAAAUAUAUAUAUGUAUAUAUACAUAUAUAUAUAUUUUUUAGAGACAGGGUCUCACUCUGUCACUCAGGCGGGAAUGCAAUGGCGUGAUCAUAGCUCAUUGCAGCCUCAAACUCAUGGGCUCAAGUGAUCAUCUCUCCUCAGCCUCCCAAGUAGCUAGGACAACAGGCAUGCACAACCACACCUAAUUUUUUUUUUUUAAUUUUUAUUUUGUAGAGGCAGGGUCUCACUAUGUUGCUGAGGCUUAUCGUGAAUGCCUGGCCUCAAGCAAUCCUGCCUAGGCCUCCCAAAGUGCUGGGAUUACAGGCAUAAGCCACCAUGCUCAGCCUAAAAAUGGCAUAUUCUGGUGUCUAAUAUCUAAUCUGAAGAAAUUUCAAGGUACCACUCAUAAAAUGUGUCCCCAGCAUCCUAUUAUUCCAAAGACUUCAACUUAAUUUUGUCAUAUUUACUUUCAAGGCAAAAUGGAACCCUUCUAUGUUGAUAAAAUGUUUUAUAUAUGGUAAGAUUUGAGGACUUUACAUAUUUAGAGGAAUUCUUGUUUUAGAUAUAUUAUUAGUAUGUCUUCAUCAAAAAGAUGUGAAAUCCGUUAAAGCCCCACCUCCACAGAUCUCAUUUUAAACACUAGGGUAUGCCUCCCCUUUCUCCAAAUCUUCUAGGUUUCCUGACAAGUUGUACAGUUGGCUGAUUCUAGUUUUCUGUCAUUUCUCCCUUCUUUUUUUUUUUUGGAGAUGGAGUCUCACUCUAUCGCCCAGGCUGGAGUGCAGUGGCGUGAUCUUGGCUCACUGCAACCUCCUCCUCCCCGGUUCAAGCAAUUCUCCUGUCUCAGCCUCCCGAGUAGCAAGGACUACAGGCGCACACCACCACACCCGGCUAAUUUUUUGUAUUUUAGUGGAGAUGGGGUUUCAUUGUGUUGCCCAGGCUGGUCUCGAACUCCUGACCCCAGGCAAUCCACCCACCUUGGCCUCCCAACAUUUCUCCCUUCUUUAACAUUAACAAACAGAGCUGACAUGAGAAAAAGACACAAAGUUCUUAGAACAUUGUGAACUGGAUACACAGCUAUUAAGAGUCCUUGGUAUUUCAGAUAUCUCAAGCAUUAUUAUCAGCAUGGUAACUUUAAGGUUGAUUCCAGGUAUAAUUAAAUAUCUCAUGAUAGUAAACGCACAAAGGCUUUUGAAAAGUUUAGAUUGCAUUUUGAAAUAAAUAUGAUGUGAUAUCUUUAAAUUUUUACUGUAAUACUGUGCAAAUUGUUUAGAUUUAGAAAUGAUUUUAUUGCUCCUUAAGCAUUCAUUCAAUUCUUAUUCAGGGAAUACACAGAACAUAGGUAGUAUUUGGGAAGGUACAUCUUAUUAUUACCUUGAUAUAAUUAUAUCAUAA